GACGAACGCUGGCGGCGUGCUUAACACAUGCAAGUCGAACGGAAAGGCCCUGCUUUCGUGGGGUGCCCGGGUGGCGAACGGGUGAGGAACACGUGAGUAACCUGCCCUUGACUUUGGGAGGACUUCAGGAAACUGGGGCUAAUACAGUAUAGGAGCUCCUGCUGCAGGGUGGGGGUGGGAAAUUUUCGGCGGGUGGGGAUGGACUCGCGGCUUUUUAGUUUGUUGGUUGGGUAAAGGCCUACCAAGGCGACGGUCGGUAGCUGGCCUGAGAGGGUGAUCAGCCACACUGGAAUUGAGACACGGUCCAGACUCCUACGGGAGGCAGCAGUGGGGAAUAUUGGACAAUGGGCGCAAGCCUGAUCCAGCCAUACCGCGUGGGUGAAGAAGGCCUUCGGGUUGUAAAGCCCUUUUAGUGGGAAAGAAAAGCAGCAGGUUAAUACCCCGCUGUUCUGACGGUACCAAAAGAAUAAGCACCGGCUAACUUCGUG
Molecule: ribosomal RNA, 488 nt
Filed under: uncultured bacterium
Lineage: Bacteria
Description: partial 16S ribosomal RNA
Rfam family: Bacterial small subunit ribosomal RNA
Source: RNAcentral